AUACCCUAUUAUUUUUGAGUGUUAAUUUUUUUUUGCUUGAGUAGUAUUAGUCUAUGUUCUUGAAACUUAAAGAAUUUGGCGGUAUCUUAUUCCAUUCAGAGGAACCUGUCUCGUUAUCGAUAGUCCGCGUUGGACCUUACUUAGGGUUUAUUGGUUUGUAUACCGCCGUUUAUUGAUUAUCUUUUUAGGGUUGUUUAAUUUUCUUGUUUCUUUAUUUUGAUUUAUUUCAGGUCAAGGUGCAGCUUUUUCUAAGUGGUAUGAUGGGUUACAAUGUUAUUUGUUGUUUGGAUUAUAUGUUUUGAUAUGUGUAUGAAAUUGGAUUUGGUUGUAAUGUUUUGUAGAUUGUUUUCGUGAUAAUUGGUUCUGARAUAUGUACACAUCGCCC
Molecule: ribosomal RNA, 385 nt
Filed under: Macrotermes subhyalinus (Mendi termite)
Lineage: Eukaryota; Metazoa; Arthropoda; Insecta; Blattodea; Termitidae
Description: partial 12S ribosomal RNA
Source: RNAcentral